AUGGAGAUCCAUCCAUGCAAAGCGCCGCCAUCGACCCUUCUCCUAGACUCCCAUGUAUGUGUGACGGCGCGGCGCUCAUCACCGCCCGUACCUAGCGGCGGCGACAUCCCUUCUAUGAGUAUGGAUCCAGCAACUUCCGAUAAAGCACCAAAUCAAUCUCCCCGUACCCUUGCAGAGAUGGAACCUAGGCUCGGUUGCGAAUUUUCAUUGCAAACCAAUGGUGCCAAUAAUAGAUAA
This 237-nucleotide ribosomal RNA is filed under the name Triticum aestivum (bread wheat). Its description in RNAcentral is "partial small subunit ribosomal RNA". The record is from RNAcentral. Lineage: Eukaryota; Viridiplantae; Streptophyta; Magnoliopsida; Poales; Poaceae.